RNAcentral lists this long non-coding RNA (761 nucleotides) under Fragaria vesca (wild strawberry). RNAcentral describes it as "long non-coding RNA (FVES_LNC000856)". The record is from RNAcentral. Lineage: Eukaryota; Viridiplantae; Streptophyta; Magnoliopsida; Rosales; Rosaceae.
CCGGACUGAGGGCGUUGUACCUUGCCAGGUCAUGCAUUUUCCUCAGGCCCCUCUCUCUCCCGAGCACAUGGCUGUCGUUGAGGGACAGCCUGAUACCUCAGUCGAUGGCAGUUUGCCUCUGGAGGUAAGAUAUUGUCUGUUUUAACCUUUAUUGCCUUUAACCUACUGAUAACUCCAUUUGUCCAACUGUUAUUGACUUGGGGAAAAGUGAGGAAUGCAAUGGAUGGGAUGUACAUGUAAUGUUAUAUUUUAUUUUAUUUUGCUGAAUCUCUCUGCCUUAUGGUGCAGAUGGUUGCCAGUGAGGAAACCGGUGUUGCUGCUGUAAGUACAUCAUUUUGUUUUUGUUACUUGUAAUUUCUGUUUUGCUAAAAUUAUUGUGUAGAUUGAUGAUCUACUGUAUCUAGUGUGCAUAUAAUGUCUUGCUAGAAUUUUUGAGUGGAUUGAUCAUUUACUGUUGGUUUUGUAAUUGCCAUAGGGAACUGUUUCUGCCCGGACUGAGGGCGUUGUACCUCGCCAGGUCAUGCAUUUUCCUCAGGCCCCUCUCCCUCCCGAGCACAUGGCUGUCGUUGAGGGACAGUUUGAUACCUCAAUCGAUGGCAGUUUGCCUCUGAAGGUAAGAUAUUGUCUGUUUAAACCUUUAUUGCCUUUAACCUACUGAUAACUCCAUUUGUCCAACUGUUAUUGACUCGGGGAAAAGUAAGGAAUGCAAUGGAUGGGAGGUACAUGUAACGUUAAAUUUUAUUUUUUUUGCUGAAUCUCUC